UUAUUCCUCAAACCUGUAGGAUGCCGAGCUAAAAGAAAAUCAAAUUUCAAUGGCUUCUUUUCUUUGAAGGACCAAGAUGUUCUUUCACACUUAGAAUCCGGAUUAGAGGAUAAAUCCAUCAAGUCAAUGGAAACAACUUAAGAAAUGGACAGAGGGAUAUUUCAUUCAUAUAUACACAGUUUGCACUGUGGCAAAAAUAGAGUCAAAGACCAAGGGAAGAGGUCAUCAAGAGGUCAAGUCUAAUCUACCUAUGGAUGUGGCAGCCUUAACUAUGGAUGUUCAAACCAGACAUUGCCAGCAGAACCACAUCUCUUCACCCAUAGCACGGACUGUAGGAGAAAGCCCAGAGGAGCAAUGAAGACAAAGAAGACAUAACACCUGCAAAAAGUCAGUGGAGUAUUUCUCCAUAACAAACCUUCCAGGUGAGUGACGGUCAGUAUCUUCCACUGCUCCAGCUCUCACAAUAAACCUAGAACCUGCCCUGGGUAAGCUGGAGGACCAUGCCUGACUAGUCCACUCCCUGCAUGGGGCCGGUUUGUGCAGGGUGACUGUCAUCAAGCAGACAAUGGACUCAGG
Diceros bicornis minor is the source of this 576-nucleotide long non-coding RNA. RefSeq lists it as uncharacterized. The record is from RefSeq and is a predicted model, not a curated record. NCBI's taxonomy places the organism in Eukaryota, Metazoa, Chordata, Mammalia, Perissodactyla, Rhinocerotidae. The transcript has 3 exons.